AGCCUGAGACACGAUGACGAGUGAAAAAUAGUAACGAAGUCCUUGAUCCUCCGCUGCCAAGAAAAGCUGCUAAGGAAUAUAGAGGUGCCCGUACCGCAAACCGACACAGGUAGACAGGUAGAGAAUACUAAGGCGCGCGAGAUAACUCUUGUUAAGGAACUCUGCAAAAUGAACCCGUAACUUCGGGAGAAGGGUUGCUCUCUAGCGUGAGUAUGAGCAAUACAGAGCGCAGGAGAGUCGCAGUGAAAAGGUCCAGGCGACUGUUUAGCAAAAACACAGGUCAUUGCAAAAUCGCAAGAUGAAGUAUAAUGGCUGACGCCUGCCCGGUGCUGGAAGGUUAAGGGGAAGAGUGCAAGCUUUGAACCGAAGCCCCAGUAAACGGCGGCCGUAACAAUAACGGUCCUAAGGUAGCGAAAUUCCUUGUCGGGUAAGUUCCGACCCGCACGAAAGGCGAAACGAUCAGGACGCUGUCUCAACAAGGGACUCGGUGAAAUUGAAAUUCCGGUAAAGAUGCCGGAUACCUGCGAUAGGACAGAAAGACCCCAUGGAGCUUUACUGUAGCCUGAUAUUGGGUUUCGGAUAUUCAUGUACAGGAUAGGUGGGAGACUAAGAAGCAUGGACGCCAGUUUGUGCGGAGUCACUGGUGGGAUACCACCCUUAAAUGUUUGGAAUUCUAACAAGGAGUCUUGAAGCAGAUUAUUGGACAGUGUCAGGUGGGCAGUUUGACUGGGGCGGUCGCCUCCCAAAAGGUAACGGAGGCGCUCAAAGGUUCCCUCAGAACGGAUGGAAAUCGUUCGCAGAGUGCAAAGGCAGAAGGGAGCUUGACUGCGAGAGCCACAACUCGAGCAGAUAGGAAACUAGGACUUAGUGAUCCGGCGGUCGCGAGUGGAAGUGCCGUCGCUCAACGGAUAAAAGCUACCCUGGGGAUAACAGGCUUAUCUCCCCCAAGAGUUCACAUCGACGGGGAGGUUUGGCACCUCGAUGUCGGCUCAUCGCAUCCUGGGCUGAAGUAGGUCCCAAGGGUUGGGCUGUUCGCCCAUUAAAGCGGUACGCGAGCUGGGUUCAGAACGUCGUGAGACAGUUCGGUCCCUAUCCAUCGCGGGCGUAGGAAAUUUGAAGGGAGCUGACCCUAGUACGAGAGGACCGGGUUGGACAGACCGCUGGUGAACCAGUUGUUCUGCCAAGAGCAUAGCUGGGUAGCUAAGUCUGGAAAAGAUAAACGCUGAAAGCAUCUAAGCGUGAAGCGAACCUUAAGAUGAGAUUUCCCACAACGAAAGUUGAUAAGACACCAGAGAGAAUAACUGGUAGAUAGCUCAGGAGUGUAAGUGUGGUGACACAUUGAGCGGACUGAUACUAAUAAGUCGAAGACUUAGCC
This 1375-nucleotide ribosomal RNA is filed under the name metagenome. RNAcentral describes it as "bacterial LSU rRNA". It matches the Rfam family "Bacterial large subunit ribosomal RNA", at positions 1553 to 2925 of the family's 2925-position model. The record is from RNAcentral.